UGGUGGAGUGAUUUGUCUGGUUAAUUCCGUUAACGAACGAGACCUCGACCUGCUAAAUAGUUUGCUCAAGACUUCGGUCUUGAGUACUAACUUCUUAGAGGGACUAUUGGUGCGUAGCCAGUGGAAGUUCGAGGCAAUAACA
This 142-nucleotide ribosomal RNA is filed under the name uncultured eukaryote. RNAcentral describes it as "partial 18S ribosomal RNA". It matches the Rfam family "Eukaryotic small subunit ribosomal RNA", at positions 1299 to 1458 of the family's 1831-position model. The record is from RNAcentral.